UCAAACUUGGUCAUUUAGAGGAAGUAAAAGUCGUAACAAGGUUUCCGUAGGUGAACCUGCGGAAGGAUCAUUAUCGAGUAUCGGGGUUCUUCUGAGCCCCUACUCCCACACCAUGUGUAACUUACCUCUCGUUGCUUUGGCGGGCCGCUCCUCCUGGAGCGCCGGCUUCACAGCCGGACAGCGCCCGCCAGAGGACCAACUUAAACUCUUGUUAAUAGCAGAAGUCUGAGUAAACAUUUAAUUGAAUCAAAACUUUCAACAACGGAUCUCUUGGUUCUGGCAUCGAUGAAGAACGCAGC
RNAcentral lists this unclassified non-coding RNA (299 nucleotides) under uncultured fungus. RNAcentral describes it as "partial contains small subunit ribosomal RNA, internal transcribed spacer 1, and 5.8S ribosomal RNA". The stretch from base 1 to 73 matches the Rfam family "Eukaryotic small subunit ribosomal RNA", at positions 1759 to 1831 of the family's 1831-position model. The record is from RNAcentral. Lineage: Eukaryota; Fungi.